This 259-nucleotide ribosomal RNA is filed under the name uncultured bacterium. Its description in RNAcentral is "partial 16S ribosomal RNA". It matches the Rfam family "Bacterial small subunit ribosomal RNA", at positions 793 to 1055 of the family's 1533-position model. The record is from RNAcentral.
GUCCACGCCGUAAACGUUGGGCGCUAGGUGUGGGUCCUUCCACGGAUUCCGUGCCGCAGCUAACGCAUUAAGCGCCCCGCCUGGGGAGUACGGCCGCAAGGCUAAAACUCAAAGGAAUUGACGGGGCCCGCACAAGCGGCGGAGCAUGUUGCUUAAUUCGAUGCAACGCGAAGAACCUUACCAAGGUUUGACAUGCAGGGAAAAGCCAUAGAGAUAUGGUGUCCGUAAGGGUCCUGCACAGGUGGUGCAUGGCUGUCGU